GGCGUGUACUGCUUGGCUGGGCCUUACUUCUUGGUGAGCCGGCGUGCCCUUUAUUGGUGUGCGUCGGGGAACCAGGACUUUUGCCUUGAGAAAAUUAGAGUGUUCAAAGCAGGCCUAUGCCUGAAUACAUUAGCAUGGAAUAAUAGAAUAGGACGUGCGGUUCUAUUUUGUUGGUUUCUAGAGUCGCCGUAAUGAUUAAUAGGGACAGUUGGGGGCAUUGGUAUUGAGUCGCUAGAGGUGAAAUUCUUGGAUUGACUCAAGACCGACUAUUGCGAAAGCAUUUGCCAAGGAUGUUUUCAUUAAUCAAGAACGAAGGUUAGGGGAUCGAAAACGAUCAGAUACCGUUGUAGUCUUAACAGUAAACUAUGCCGACUAGGGAUCGGAUGACCUCAAAAUUGAUGUGUCAUUCGGCACCUUACGAGAAAUCAAAGUCUUUGGGUUCUAGGGGGAGUAUGGUCGCAAGGCUGAAACUUAAAGGAAUUGACGGAAGGGCACCACCAGGUGUGGAGCCUGCGGCUUAAUUUGACUCAACACGGGGAAACUCACCAGGUCCAGACAUAACUAGGAUUGACAGAUUGAUAGCUCUUUCAUGAUUUUAUGGGUGGUGGUGCAUGGCCGUUCUUAGUUGGUGGAGUGAUUUGUCUGGUUAAUUCCGAUAACGAACGAGACCUUAACCUGCUAAAUAGCCAGGCCGGCUUCGGCUGGUCUCUGGCUUCUUAGAGGGACUGUCAG
RNAcentral lists this ribosomal RNA (732 nucleotides) under uncultured eukaryote. Its description in RNAcentral is "SSU rRNA". It matches the Rfam family "Eukaryotic small subunit ribosomal RNA", at positions 672 to 1426 of the family's 1831-position model. The record is from RNAcentral.